RNAcentral lists this ribosomal RNA (253 nucleotides) under uncultured bacterium. RNAcentral's name for it is "partial 16S ribosomal RNA". It matches the Rfam family "Bacterial small subunit ribosomal RNA", at positions 524 to 776 of the family's 1533-position model. The record is from RNAcentral.
UACAGAGGGGGCAAGCGUUAUUCGGAAUUAUUGGGCGUAAAGAGCUCGUAGGCGGUCUGUUACGUCUGCUGUGAAAACCCGGGGCUUAACCCCUGGCUUGCAGUGGAUACGGACAGACUAGAGGUAGGUAGGGGAGAAUGGAAUUCCCGGUGUAGCGGUGAAAUGCGCAGAUAUCGGGAGGAACACCGGUGGCGAAGGCGGUUCUCUGGGCCUUACCUGACGCUGAGGAGCGAAAGCGUGGGGAGCGAACAGG